UAGGGAAUCUUCCACAAUGACGCAAGUCUGAUGGAGCAACGCCGCGUGAGUGAAGAAGGUUUUCGGACCGUAAAGCUCUGUUGUUGGUGAAGAAGGAUAGAGGUAGUAACUGGCCUUUAUUUGACGGUAAUCAACCAGAAAGUCACGGCUAACUACGUGCCAGCAGCCGCGGUAAUCGUAGGUGGCAAGCGUUGUCCGGAUUUAUUGGGCGUAAAGCGAGCGCAGGCGGAAGAAUAAGUCUGAUGUGAAAGCCCUCGGCUUAACCGAGGAAUUGCAUCGGAAACUGUUUUCUUGAGUGCAGAAGAGGAGAGUAGAACUCCAUGUGUAGCGGUGGAAUGCGUAGAUAUAUGGAAGAAUACCAGUGGCGAAGGCGGCUCUCUGGUCUGCAACUGACGCUGAGGCUCGAAGGCAUGAGUAGCGAACAGGAUUAGAUACCCUGGUAGUCCAUGCCGUAAACGAUGAGUGCUAAGUGUUGGGAGGCUUCCGCCUCUCAGUGCUGCAGCUAACGCAUUAAGCACUCCGCCUGGGGGAGUACGACCGCAAGGUUGAAAC
RNAcentral lists this ribosomal RNA (552 nucleotides) under uncultured bacterium. RNAcentral describes it as "partial 16S ribosomal RNA". It matches the Rfam family "Bacterial small subunit ribosomal RNA", at positions 355 to 900 of the family's 1533-position model. The record is from RNAcentral.